CCUACGGGCGGCAGCAGUGAGGAAUAUUGGUCAAUGGGCGAGAGCCUGAACCAGCCAAGUCGCGUGAAGGAUGAAGGAUCUAUGGUUUGUAAACUUCUUUUAUAUGGGAAUAAAGUGAGGAACGUGUUCCUUUUUGUAUGUACCAUAUGAAUAAGCAUCGGCUAACUCCGUGCCAGCAGCCGCGGUAAUACGGAGGAUGCGAGCGUUAUCCGGAUUUAUUGGGUUUAAAGGGUGCGUAGGUGGUUAAUUAAGUCAGCGGUGAAAGUUUGUGGCUCAACCAUAAAAUUGCCGUUGAAACUGGUUGACUUGAGUAUAUUUGAGGUAGGCGGAAUGCGCGGUGUAGCGGUGAAAUGCAUAGAUAUCGCGCAGAACCCCGAUUGCGAAGGCAGCGUGCCGUGCCGCCACUGACGCUGAGGCACGAAAGCGCGGGGAUCGAACAGGAUUAGAUACCCUUGUAGUC
This 460-nucleotide ribosomal RNA is filed under the name uncultured bacterium. RNAcentral's name for it is "partial 16S ribosomal RNA". It matches the Rfam family "Bacterial small subunit ribosomal RNA", at positions 338 to 795 of the family's 1533-position model. The record is from RNAcentral.